RNAcentral lists this ribosomal RNA (407 nucleotides) under Verrucomicrobiota bacterium. RNAcentral's name for it is "Verrucomicrobia bacterium partial 16S ribosomal RNA". It matches the Rfam family "Bacterial small subunit ribosomal RNA", at positions 355 to 776 of the family's 1533-position model. Lineage: Bacteria; Pseudomonadati; Verrucomicrobiota. The record is from RNAcentral.
UGGGGAAUAUUGGACAAUGGAGGGAACUCUGAUCCAGCAAUUCUGUGUGUGUGAAGAAGGUUUUAGGACUGUAAAACACUUUUAGUAGGGAAUAAAAAAAUGACGGUACCUACAGAAGAAGCAACGGCUAAAUACGUGCCAGCAGCCGCGGUAAUACGUAUGUUGCGAGCGUUAUCCGGAAUUAUUGGGCUUAAAGGGCAUCUAGGCGGUAAGACAAGUUGAAGGUGAAAACCUGUGGCUCAACCAUAGGCUUGCCUACAAAACUGUUGAACUAGAGUACUGGAAAGGUGGGUGGAACUACACGAGUAGAGGUGAAAUUCGUAGAUAUGUGUAGGAAUGCCGAUGAUGAAGAUAACUCACUGGACAGAAACUGACGCUGAAGUGCGAAAGCUAGGGGAGCAAACAGG